GGCGUCCGGCCCUCCGCAAGCGCCCGCGGGAGUUUGGGUUCCGGACCUGGUCCGAUCCCGUUCCCUCCGUGGGGCUGUUUGCGAACAGGAGGUGUCCUCGGACGGCGUCGUUCGUCUCCAGUCCGCGACGCUACGGCUUGGAUGGCCUACCCGACCCGUCUUGAAACACGGACCAAGGAGUCUAACAUGCGCGCGAGUCGUUGGGUCGGACGCGCUCCGCUAAACCCAUAGGCGAAAUGAAAGUGAAGGCCCCUUUUUGGGUGCCGAGGGAGGACGGAGCCGCUCCCCUCGCGGGACGGCUCCCGCACUCCCGGGGCGUCUGAUUCCUCACUGCGAGGGAAGGCGCACCCAGAGCGCACACGUUGGGACCCGAAAGAUGGUGAACUAUGCCUGGCCAGGACGAAGUCAGGGGAAACCCUGAUGGAGGUCCGUAGCGAUUCUGACGUGCAAAUCGAUCGUCGGAGCUGGGUAUAGGGGCGAAAGACUAAUCGAACCAUCUAGUAGCUGGUUCCCUCCGAAGUUUCCCUCAGGAUAGCUUGCGCUCGGAGGAGAGUCUCAUCCGGUAAAGCGAAUGAUUAGAGGCCUUGGGGCCGAAACGGCUUCAACCUAUUCUCAAACUUUAAAUGGGUGAGAACUCCGGCUUGCUCGAUCAAUUAAAUGAAGCCGGAGUCGGGGCCACGAGCCCCCAGGAUCGGAGUGCAUAGUGGGCCACUUUUGGUAAGCAGAACUGGCGCUGUGGGAUGAACCAAACGACGGGUUAAGGCGCCCGAAUCGACGCUCAUGGGAAACCAUGAAAGGUGUUGGUUGCUUAAGACAGCAGGACGGUGGCCAUGGAAGUCGGAAUCCGCUAAGGAGUGUGUAAUAACUCACCUGCCGAAGCAACUAGCCCUGAAAAUGGAUGGCGCUGAAGCGUCGUGCCUAUACCCGGCCGUCGCCGCAGGGCGGGCCCCGUGACGGGUGCCGCUUGACGCGGCGACGAGUAGGAGGGUCGCGGCGGCGUGCGCAGAAGGGUCUGGGCUCGAGCCUACCUGGAGCCGCCGCCGGUGCAGAUCUUGGUGGUAGUAGCAAAUACUCCAGCGAGGCCCUGGAGGACUGAUGUGGAGAAGGGUUUCGUGUGAACAGCCGUUGCACACGAGUCAGUCGAUCCUAAGCCCUAGGAGAAAUCCGAUACCAACGGCGAUGGGCGAAAGAACGAGAGAAAACAGCCCAUUGAUCGGGCGAAAGGGAAUCCGGUUCCUAUUCCGGAACCCGGCAGCGGAACCGCUGUUUGUCGGGCCCUCACAAGGGGUUCGUCAGGGUAACCUAAAAGGGCCCGGAGACGCCGUCGGGAGCCCCGGAAAGAGUUUUCUUUUCUGCAUGAGCGUUCGAGUUCCCU
This 1375-nucleotide ribosomal RNA is filed under the name Austrolestes colensonis. Its description in RNAcentral is "eukaryotic LSU rRNA". It matches the Rfam family "Eukaryotic large subunit ribosomal RNA", at positions 604 to 1721 of the family's 3401-position model. Lineage: Eukaryota; Metazoa; Arthropoda; Insecta; Odonata; Lestidae. The record is from RNAcentral.